CAGCCGCCGCGGUAACACGUAGGGUGCGAGCGUUAAUCGGAAUUACUGGGCGUAAAGCGUGCGCAGGCGGUUCGUUAAGACAGAUGUGAAAUCCCCGGGCUUAACCUGGGAACUGCAUUUGUGACUGGCGAGCUAGAGUAUGGCAGAGGGGGGUAGAAUUCCACGUGUAGCAGUGAAAUGCGUAGAGAUGUGGAGGAAUACCGAUGGCGAAGGCAGCCCCCUGGGCCAAUACUGACGCUCAUGCACGAAAGCGUGGGGAGCAAACAGGAUUAGAUACCCCAGUAGUCCCUGUCUCUUAUAC
This 301-nucleotide ribosomal RNA is filed under the name uncultured bacterium. RNAcentral describes it as "partial 16S ribosomal RNA". It matches the Rfam family "Bacterial small subunit ribosomal RNA", at positions 509 to 807 of the family's 1533-position model. The record is from RNAcentral.